GGAGUCAGUUCUGUAGGAAGCUCAGGAUGGCUUCUGGAAAGUGUCUAAGCAGCACCAGCUAGUGGGGAUCCAGACACAGCUCAAAGGAGUUCAGGAAAGAAAACAGGCCAUCUGAGCCCUAGAGGAUCUGUUCAGAUGCAAACCUGACCAGGGGCUUUGGGACCUGGAAAAGCUCGAGGCACACUGCGUUCUCCAUGAUGCAGCUGGAUGAAAUAGAGGGUUGCAUUUGGUACUGAAAAUUCAUACUUCAGAAAAUAAAAUGCUGCUGUGAGAAGAUACUGCAGGUGUGGAUUUGAAAGCUGAUGGAAGAAGAUUGUGAACAGAAUUCUACCUCUGUGCCAACACUGUGACCAGGGCCCAUUUAUUGUGAACAGGUUCCUGGUAUGU
Molecule: long non-coding RNA, 387 nt
Filed under: Aotus nancymaae (Ma's night monkey)
Lineage: Eukaryota; Metazoa; Chordata; Mammalia; Primates; Aotidae
Description: lncRNA (ENSANAG00000038770.1)
Source: RNAcentral